CUCCUCUCUCUUUCUCUAUUUGUCCAUGCAGGACACAAAGAUGGAUGGAGAAGCUCCUGGAAUGGGGCUCACAAUAGCUUGUGCCACAAGAUUGAAUCGAGAUUGUUUUGGUUUAACGGCGCCGUGACAACGAGAGGAAUCACCUACACGCAGGACGCUGUGCCUUCAUCCCCCAUCCACCAUCGCCAUUAAAGCCUUAACGUAUGACAUCACACCUUCAUCCAGGUGACCUACGGACUGACCUCAAGAAGAAAUGCACCUGCAGAACAGCAGCUUUGUGGGACAAUAGUUAAAUCCGCUGGGAUCAUCACGUUUCCACUUCUCCGCGUCACAGAAUUGGGCCCUGCGGUGGUCACCUGAGGAGGCGGGGCUUCCUCUGAAGAACACCGCCGGUCUGGUUCCGCCAUUUUAUCAUUUAUUUUUUUCCACAGCGACAGAAUGCAAAAUCAAUUAAAGAGACGUGAACAGAAUAAAAACAGAUCCAAAAAUACGUGUUUUUUAAUUAUUUGAUCAUAUUUCCCAUUUCAGUCCCAGCUGGAGACGUCUGUGUGUAAACCUGUUGGUUCAUGAAUAGUUCAUGUGAAGUGUGAACAGAAGGGAAAUUGUAAAUAAAAUCAAGUCGGACUUUAAAAACAAAAGGCUGAAGGAAACACAAAGCGAAACCACAGAGAGAAGAGAAGAAUGAACACGAUGUCAGAGGAGCAUGAAACCUGCACCAAUGACUCCGUGGUUCUCUGGACUCCUUUGACAUCACUUCCUGCUGAAAGCAGCUUGAGGGUUCAAUGGUCUUCAGUAGAUCACCUUCUUGUCCUUCACCUCACUGCACCAAUCGCUCCACCUCUUCAAUAAGUUGCCUUAAAACGGAGUUUAUUUUGAAAAGUCUGUAUGUAACAAAGUGAACUCUAGCAGGAAAAUGAUUAGAAUGAUGUCAUUUGGUUUGAAUUCUAACUUCAUCCUUGAUUAUUUUGUUAU
Molecule: long non-coding RNA, 972 nt
Organism: Pungitius pungitius (ninespine stickleback)
Lineage: Eukaryota; Metazoa; Chordata; Actinopteri; Perciformes; Gasterosteidae
Exons: 4
Source: RefSeq, a predicted model, not a curated record